AACAUACAAAUACGGCUCACACAAGGGUAAGCAAUAGCCACGAGUGAAAGAAAAGGAAACUAAACAUUCACUUGUACUAUGAUUUAUUUUUGAUCAUAUACAUUGCAUUCAUCUUCUACAUUUUCGAAUCCCUUACAUUUCAUUUCAUCAUUUCUUUCUUACAUCACAUUUACCUCAAAAGGGUUCUUUACAUUCUUCAUUUACAUCACUAAUCAUCAAGUACAAAAGAUGAUAAA
Molecule: long non-coding RNA, 236 nt
Filed under: Ananas comosus (pineapple)
Lineage: Eukaryota; Viridiplantae; Streptophyta; Magnoliopsida; Poales; Bromeliaceae
Description: long non-coding RNA (ACOM_LNC044537)
Source: RNAcentral